UACGUAGGGUGCAAGCGUUGUCCGGAAUUAUUGGGCGUAAAGCGUGCGCAGGCGGUUGUGCAAGACAGAUGUGAAAUCCCCGGGCUCAACCUGGGAACUGCAUUUGUGACUGCACGGCUGGAGUGCGGCAGAGGGGGAUGGAAUUCCGCGUGUAGCAGUGAAAUGCGUAGAUAUGCGGAGGAACACCGAUGGCGAAGGCAAUCCCCUGGGCCUGCACUGACGCUCAUGCACGAAAGCGUGGGGAGCAAACAGG
RNAcentral lists this ribosomal RNA (253 nucleotides) under uncultured bacterium. RNAcentral describes it as "partial 16S ribosomal RNA". It matches the Rfam family "Bacterial small subunit ribosomal RNA", at positions 524 to 776 of the family's 1533-position model. The record is from RNAcentral.